This 253-nucleotide ribosomal RNA is filed under the name uncultured bacterium. RNAcentral describes it as "partial 16S ribosomal RNA". It matches the Rfam family "Bacterial small subunit ribosomal RNA", at positions 524 to 776 of the family's 1533-position model. The record is from RNAcentral.
UACGUAGGGGGCUAGCGUUGUCCGGAUUUAUUGGGCGUAAAGAGCGUGUAGGCGGCCAGAUAGGUCCGUUGUGAAAACUCGAGGCUCAACCUCGAGACGCCGAUGGAAACCAUUUGGCUAGAGUCCGGAAGAGGAGAGUGGAAUUCCUGGUGUAGCGGUGAAAUGCGCAGAUAUCAGGAAGAACACCCGUGGCUAAGGCGGCUCUCUAGUACGGUACUGACGCUGAGACGCGAAAGCGUGGGGAGCGAACAGG